This 1964-nucleotide long non-coding RNA is filed under the name Homo sapiens (human). RNAcentral's name for it is "HSALNT0049687". Lineage: Eukaryota; Metazoa; Chordata; Mammalia; Primates; Hominidae. The record is from RNAcentral.
CCAGGUGGUCACACUCCUCAGGGCGCUGGCCCAUCCCAGCCCCAGAGCUUCAGUCCGAUGGGCUCCGUCAUCACUCUCCGGCUGAUGGGGGAUCAGGCGUGGACUUCAGACCCGAUUCUGGAUGAGGAGAUGUGGGCGUGGGGAGGGGCCAGUCAGAGAAGCCCCAGAAGAUCUCCUCAUUGUUCCAAAGCUUCAGAUACGAUUGAGUGAGAAUAAGAAUGAUAGCCGCAAUGAAUCGUAACACCGCCACUGUGUCUACAUCCAUGAGUUCAUAAGAAAACAAAAAGAUAAUUGGUCAACUUCGGCUGCAGCUGGAGAACCACCUCAUUACUCUGAACACGGAUAAGUAAAGGAUAAAAAUGAAGCCUUUACUGACUUCUCUAUGCAAACCGUCCCUCAGGGCAGCUAAGUUGGUCUCCUGGGCAGAGAGCCACUUCCCACUUCCUAGGGCAUUGUCCCGGCUGGAGCUGCAGCUGUGGUCUUGCUCUAGUUCUAGGAUGAAGCAAAGCCACGGGGGAAGGUGAGGUAGGAUGGAGAAAGGACUCGGGGUUCCAGUGCACCCCUGAACCGGCACAGCCUCCCGGCCCUCCUGCUGGGAGUUGGGGGAUUGCUUCUAAUGGACAAUGGAUGGACUGUGUCUGAUGUCACCCCAUACACGUGGAACAGGGCAGCUGUCUUGUGUUCCCAGCCUCUGGUAAGCUCCUUGAGGGCACAGACGCUGUCUGGUUCAUCUCUGCACCCCUGACAGUGCCCCGCUGGGUGCCUGGCGCGGUGCCCACUGCUUAGUAGACCCUGGAGUUGUUGGGGAGAAGGCGCUUGGGCCAUGGUAGCAGCAGGUGGAGGCUGGGCUUGUGUCCAGUGUUCAGGAAACUCGGAAACCUCCAAAUGUGUGACCCCGAUGGGAUUUUGAUUUCUUCCCAUCUCUUGAGCCUAAGGCACAAUUGUUGGGAACCUCCAAAACCCACUGCUUAGGGAAAAGCCCGCAUCCAAAUUUCUGCUAAGCAGGAGGGGAAGGUGCCGGGGUGGGUGUGGUCUCGCAGUGCCUGUCCCCUGCUGCUCUGGCUUGCUGCCCUCAUCCCUGUGGCCGCUUCUUCCCCAGCAUCCUCAACAGCACGUGUGCUCACAGCCCGGACCCCGCCCUGAUGGUCUGACUGCACGGCUCCCGCGUCCUGACUUCCUCCCACUCUCCCCUUGUGCGGAGCACCUCUGCCCACGCCCAGUGCCCGGUGCUUGCCCACAGCGGAAGCCCCGCCCUGGAGCUCACCACACCCCAGCCCUGACCCUACAGCAGCCCCCACCAGUGAGUUCUGCCAUUAGAGUCAGAAUGUCUCUUCCCUCUCGUGUGACAGGUUUGCAUGCUACUCAGAAUUUAGUUCUCCAAGGACCCCUGAAUCACAGUCAGGGCCAGGCCCAGAGCAGGCCCAAAGCUGAAGAAGGUGCUCACCCUCAGGGCUCUCAGAGACAAGGGGGAAGAGUCCGGGGGGCUUUUGAGAGGCACCAAGUUCAAGUCUGUGUCGCCCACGCAAGGCUCCUUCUCUCUCCAACCUCUUCACCCCAGGGACUCUGGAAUCCUGCCUUCCACACCCCACAUGGCUAGAACCACUAGUGCAGGAACAUGCAACUCCGCAAUCAGCCUGCCUGCCCCUCACCUGCACACACCUCUGCUGCACCUCCACACUCAGCCUACCUGUGCUCACCUGGGCAGCAGCUCCAUACUCAGCCUGCCUGCCCCUCACCUGCACGCACCUGCUCCUCACCUGUGCUCACCUGGGCUGGAGUUUAGCCUUUCCUUCUGCAGCCUCUGAGGUGUGGAAAGUCACAUUGCUCCUCACAGAGCCCCCAAAACAAGACAGACACAAACCAAAGACAAAAAGCAAAUGUUUGGUUUUUAAACUAGCUUAAUAAUCUGCUCAACUGGCCUCUCCUCUCUGAACUGUGUUGGGGAUCCUGGUGGAAGAACUGAG